This 1083-nucleotide long non-coding RNA is filed under the name Salmo salar (Atlantic salmon). RNAcentral describes it as "lncRNA (ENSSSAG00000068435.2)". The record is from RNAcentral. Lineage: Eukaryota; Metazoa; Chordata; Actinopteri; Salmoniformes; Salmonidae.
AAUUGUUGCUAGGGAAGAGAGUUUGCAAAUGGGGCGAUAAUUAUUUAGGUCACAUGGGUCACCACCUUUUUGAAGGGGGAGUUUAUAUGGGCCGCCUUCCGGACCCUGGGGAUGGUACGAGAAAUAAUUAUACGGUAAAAAAUAUGUGUUAAAGAUUCUGCAAUCAGAGGAGCAGAAAGCUGCAGCAAGAAAGGGUCAAGCAAAUCAGUCCAAGUGGAUUUGUUUUUACAUCAAUCUUGCGCAAGGCGUUUAGCACAUCACAAGUAGAAAGUUGUUGAAAUGAAAAUAAAGAUUCACUAUAAAUAGAUGGAACUUCCAUCGAAACAACGAGAGGCUGGGAGAGAGGCAGGCAGUCGACUGGCUGACCAGGAUCAAUUAAACCACAAUUUAUUAAAAAGCCUGCAGAGAUAAAAUGGUGAUUAAAAGCAUCCCUUACAGGUUAGGGCUAUGGCGAAGAUUGAACCUUGGUGUGGACAUAAUGCUACCCAGCUAACAAUUUCUAGGGUGAGAAAACAUUUUUGUAAUGUUAACUGUAAUGUUCCCCUAAUGCUUGAGUGUCCAGUUUUCUGAGGGUUAGGAGAAUAUUCUAUCAACGUCCCACCAAAACAUACACAGAACAUGGUUGCCAUGUUCUCAGCAUGUAAGAUAUUAAUGUUAUAGACACGUUUCAUGGGAACGUUAGCUAGCUAGGCUAAUUGAGGCUGCAGUGCAUGCACUUUCUCUUCCUACAGUUACAAUAACAACAACUCCAUUCAGAAUAUUAAGUAGCAGCCUACCUAUUGACUCUUGGUCGUUGUAGCCUAUUCUUCUCUUUUAACAUUUAAUUUCGUCAUUUUAAUUUCAUCUUCCAUUGAUUAGAUAUCUCCUAACUUUUGCCACACAUGGAGGCUCUAUGACUGUAGCCUAUUGCCGCUUUGAUGACUUAUGAUUGACCAACAACAACAAGCAACACAGGCCACACUCCACUGUUGUGAAAAGCAAGAGCAGCAGCUUAAAUUAUACAAUUUAUCUCUCUCGCUCUAUACUGCAGCAGUCGCGUUGGGGUCUGUACGGGCACUUCCAGACAAGUCAGUUACAAUCACA